This is a long non-coding RNA of Bos indicus x Bos taurus (hybrid cattle), 287 nucleotides long. The record is from Ensembl. NCBI's taxonomy places the organism in Eukaryota, Metazoa, Chordata, Mammalia, Artiodactyla, Bovidae.
GAAGUUCCUGACGUGUGCUAAUGAGGACAAGGGAUGAUGGACAAAGGGGUGAGUUCAUUUCAGUCCUGCCACCAAUACUUUGCUAUUCAAUUUGGAGACAACUGAGCACAUCCAGAGAGGACUCAGUGUUGCCUCAGUUAACCCAUCUACGUGACAAAAAUGGCAAGGCUUAUGAGCUCCCAGCUGUACCACCAUUCCACAUGACCAUGAAGAAUUUCAAGGAAUUUCAAGGGAAUUUCAAGGAAGUCAGUGAAACCUUGUGAAAAUAAAAGCAGUCACAAAUCUCA